GCCUAAGUGGCUAAGUUGGUUGAAAGUGAAACUUUGGCCCAGGUCAUGAUCUCCACGUUUGUGGGUUCGAACCCCACAUUGGGCU
RNAcentral lists this transfer RNA (85 nucleotides) under Felis catus (domestic cat). It matches the Rfam family "tRNA". From Rfam's summary of the family: Transfer RNA (tRNA) molecules are approximately 80 nucleotides in length. Their secondary structure includes four short double-helical elements and three loops (D, anti-codon, and T loops). The record is from Rfam by way of RNAcentral. Lineage: Eukaryota; Metazoa; Chordata; Mammalia; Carnivora; Felidae.